Molecule: non-coding RNA, 388 nt
Organism: Oreochromis niloticus (Nile tilapia)
Lineage: Eukaryota; Metazoa; Chordata; Actinopteri; Cichliformes; Cichlidae
Source: the annotation of a RefSeq genome assembly
GGAUGAUGACAGAGAACAGUGGACUCAUCUCAACAUGACGGACUGUAGGACAGGAUUGCUGUUUUUAACUCUCUGCUUGGCAGGUGUUAAAGGUCAGACUCUGACAGAAUCUGAACCAGCAGUUAUACAACCUGGAGAGUCUCACAGACUGACCUGUACAACAUCUGGAAUCUCAUUUAGUAGCAACACUAUGGUCUGGAUCAGACAGGCUCCUGGAAAAGGGCUGGAGUGGAUUGCUUAUAUCAAUUCUAAUAGUGCCUACAUCUAUUAUUCUCAGUCAGUCCGAGGCAGGUUUACCAUCUCCAGAGACAACAGCAGAGAGCAGCUGUAUCUCCAGAUGAACAGCCUGAAGACUGAAGAUUCUGCUGUUUAUUAUUGUGCCCGAUAG